This 490-nucleotide ribosomal RNA is filed under the name uncultured bacterium. RNAcentral describes it as "partial 16S ribosomal RNA". It matches the Rfam family "Bacterial small subunit ribosomal RNA", at positions 29 to 507 of the family's 1533-position model. The record is from RNAcentral.
AGUGAACGCUGGCGGUAGGCCUAACACAUGCAAGUCGAACGGCAGCACAGGAGAGCUUGCUCUCUAGGUGGCGAGUGGCGGACGGGUGAGGAAUACAUCGGAAUCUGCCCAGUCGUGGGGGAUAACGUAGGGAAACUUACGCUAAUACCGCAUACGACCUUCGGGUGAAAGAGGGGGAUCGCAAGACCUCUCGCGAUUGGAUGAGCCGAUGUCGGAUUAGCUAGUUAGCGGGGUAAUGGCCCAUCAAGGCGACGAUCCGUAGCUGGUCUGAGAGGAUGAUCAGCCACACUGGAACUGAGACACGGUCCAGACUCCUACGGGAGGCAGCAGUGGGGAAUAUUGGACAAAGGGCGCAAGCCUGAUCCAGCCAUACCGCGUGGGUGAAGGAGGCCUUCGGGUUGUAAAGCCCUUUUGUUGGGAAAGAAAUCUUUCAGGCUAAUACCCUGGGAGGAUGACGGUACCCAAAGAAUAAGCACCGGCUAACUUCGUG